This 103-nucleotide ribosomal RNA is filed under the name Microtus ochrogaster (prairie vole). Lineage: Eukaryota; Metazoa; Chordata; Mammalia; Rodentia; Cricetidae. The record is from RNAcentral.
GUCUACAGCCAUCCCACCCUGACUGUGCCUGAUCUUGUUACUCUCAGAAGCUAGGCAGAGCCGGCCUGGUUAACACAUGGGUGGAUACUGGGUGCUGUACGCU